RNAcentral lists this ribosomal RNA (497 nucleotides) under uncultured archaeon. Its description in RNAcentral is "bacterial SSU rRNA". It matches the Rfam family "Archaeal small subunit ribosomal RNA", at positions 93 to 593 of the family's 1478-position model. The record is from RNAcentral.
GUAACACGUAGUCAACAUGCCCAGGGGACGUGGAUAACCUCGGGAAACUGAGGAUAAACCGCGAUAGGUCACUACUUCUGGAAUGGGUAAUGACUCAAACCUAUAUGGCCCCUGGAUUGGACUGCGGCCGAUCAGGCUGUUGGUGAGGUAAUGGCCCACCAAACCUGUAACCGGUACGGGCUCCGAGAGGAGGAGCCCGGAGAUGGGCACUGAGACAAGGGCCCAGGCCCUAUGGGGCGCAGCAGGCGCGAAACCUCUGCAAAAGGCGAAAGCCUGACAGGGUUACUCUGAGUGAUCUCCGUUAAGGAGAUCUUUUGGCACCUCUAAAAAUGGUGCAGAAUAAGGGGUGGGCAAGUCUGGUGUCAGCCGCCGCGGUAAUACCAGCACCCCGAGUGGUCGGGACGUUUAUUGGGCCUAAAGCAUCCGUAGCCGGUUCUACAAGUCUUCCGUUAAAUCCAGCUGCUUAACAGAUGGGCUGCGGAAGAUACUAUGGAGCU